This 834-nucleotide ribosomal RNA is filed under the name uncultured bacterium. RNAcentral describes it as "bacterial SSU rRNA". It matches the Rfam family "Bacterial small subunit ribosomal RNA", at positions 48 to 878 of the family's 1533-position model. The record is from RNAcentral.
CUAACACAUGCAAGUCGAACGGAACUUUUUUAAAAGAUUUCUUCGGAAUGAAUUUGAUUAAGUUUAGUGGCGGACGGGUGAGUAACGCGUGAGUAACCUGCCUCUAAGAGGGGAAUAACAUUCUGAAAAGAAUGCUAAUACCGCAUAACAUAUAUUUAUCGCAUGGUAGAUAUAUCAAAGAUUUAUCGCUUAGAGAUGGACUCGCGUCCGAUUAGUUAGUUGGUGAGGUAACGGCUCACCAAGACUGCGAUCGGUAGCCGGACUGAGAGGUUGAACGGCCACAUUGGGACUGAGACACGGCCCAGACUUCUACGGGAGGCAGCAGUGGGGGAUAUUGCGCAAUGGGGGAAACCCUGACGCAGCAACGCCGCGUGAAGGAUGAAGGUCUUCGGAUUGUAAACUUCUUUUAUUAAGGACGAAGAAAGUGACGGUACUUAAUGAAUAAGCUCCGGCUAACUACGUGCCAGCAGCCGCGGUAAUACGUAGGGAGCAAGCGUUGUCCGGAUUUACUGGGUGUAAAGGGUGCGUAGGCGGCUUUGCAAGUCAGAUGUGAAAUCUAUGGGCUCAACCCAUAGCCUGCAUUUGAAACUGCAGAGCUUGAGUGAAGUAGAGGCAGGCGGAAUUCCCCGUGUAGCGGUGAAAUGCGUAGAGAUGGGGAGGAACACCAGUGGCGAAGGCGGCCUGCUGGGCUUUAACUGACGCUGAGGCACGAAAGCGUGGGUAGCAAACAGGAUUAGAUACCCUGGUAGUCCACGCUGUAAACGAUGAUUACUAGGUGUGGGGGGUCUGACCCCUUCCGUGCCGGAGUUAACACAAUAAGUAAUCCACCUGGGG